CCUACGGGAGGCAGCAGUAGGGAAUCUUCGUCAAUGGGCGCAAGCCUGAACGAGCAAUGCCGCGUGAACGAGGAAGGUAUUCGGAUCGUAAAGUUCUGUUGAAGGGGAAAAAGAGCGGAGAGAGGAAAUGCGUUCUGAUUGAUAUUACCCUGCGAGGAAGUCAAGGCUAACUACGUGCCAGCAGCCGCGGUAAUACGUAGGUGGCGAGCGUUAUCCGGAAUGAUUGGGCGGAAAGGGUGCGUAGGCGGCCUGCUAAGUCUGGAGUGAAAUGACCCGGCUCAACCGGUACAGGCUGUGGAAACUGGCGGGCUAGAGAGCAGAAGAGGGCGGUGGAACUCCAUGUGUAGCGGUAAAAUGCGUAGAUAUAAGGAAGAACAUCAGUGGCGAAGGCGGCCGCCUGGCCUGUUAACUGACGCUGAGGCACGAAAGCGUGGGGAGCAAAUAGGAUUAGAUACCCUAGUAGUC
Molecule: ribosomal RNA, 465 nt
Filed under: uncultured bacterium
Lineage: Bacteria
Description: partial 16S ribosomal RNA
Rfam family: Bacterial small subunit ribosomal RNA
Source: RNAcentral